This 762-nucleotide ribosomal RNA is filed under the name uncultured archaeon. RNAcentral describes it as "bacterial SSU rRNA". It matches the Rfam family "Archaeal small subunit ribosomal RNA", at positions 38 to 806 of the family's 1478-position model. The record is from RNAcentral.
UCGAUGUCUAGCAUGCGAGUCAUUGUAGCAUACAAGGCAUACGGCUCAGUAACGCGUAGUCAACCUAACCUAUGGACGGGAAUAACCUCGGGAAACUGAGAAUAAUGCCCGAUAGAACACUAUACCUGGAAUGGUUUGUGUUCCAAAUGAUUUAUCGCCAUAGGAUGGGACUGCGGCCUAUCAGUUUGUUGGUGAGGUAAUGGCCCACCAAGACUAUUACAGGUACGGGCUCUGAGAGGAGUAGCCCGGAGAUGGGUACUGAGACACGGACCCAGGCCCUAUGGGGCGCAGCAGGCGAGAAAACUUUGCAAUGUGCGAAAGCACGACAAGGUUAAUCCGAGUGAUUUGUGCUAAACGAAUCUUUUGUUAGUCCUAGAAACACUAACGAAUAAGGGGUGGGCAAGUUCUGGUGUCAGCCGCCGCGGUAAAACCAGCACCUCAAGUGGUCAGGAUGAUUAUUGGGCCUAAAGCAUCCGUAGCCGGCUCUGUAAGUUUUCGGUUAAAUCUGUACGCUUAACGUACAGGCUGCCGGGAAUACUGCAGAGCUAGGGAGUGGGAGAGGUAGACGGUACUCGGUAGGAAGUGGUAAAAUGCUUUGAUCUAUCGAUGACCACCUGUGGCGAAGCGGUCUACCAGAACACGUCCGACGGUGAGGGAUGAAAGCUGGGGGGGAGCAACCCGGAUUAGAUACCAGGUAGUUCCAAGCCUGUAACUAUGCAAACUCAGUGAUGCCAUUGGCUUGGGUGGACCCAAUUGCCAGUG